Arabidopsis thaliana (thale cress) is the source of this 600-nucleotide long non-coding RNA. RefSeq annotates it as other RNA. The record is from RefSeq. The transcript has a single exon. NCBI's taxonomy places the organism in Eukaryota, Viridiplantae, Streptophyta, Magnoliopsida, Brassicales, Brassicaceae.
ACCUCAUCGAUCACAGUUGGCUCAAGAUCAACAAAGACAGCACGUGGGACGUGCUUCCCUGCACCGGUCUCACUGAAGAAGGUGUUGAAAGCAUCGUCACCUCCGCCAACAGUCUUGUCACUCGGCAUCUGGCCAUCAGGCUGUAACAUUCCACAUCCAAGACAACACAUCAAUACAAAGAGACAUAUAAAACGAAAAGAUCUACACAUAUAGAAGCAACGAUGAAAAGAGAAAAUCACAACGAGAUGCUUCAACUAUAUCGCAAAUAUCAAUCGCCAUCUCUUUAAGCAAAUAAAGCAAAGUUUUCCUUCACCCAAUAUUAUAAAACAAAUACGGAUAUGGCAUCAGCAAAAGCAAUCUGACAUGAAAUCCAAUUCAAACACAGAUCUAUCCAGGUUCAUCGAAUAAUUUAGAAAUGAGAAACGGAUUUCGCAUCAACCACAGAAAUUUCAUAAGACGUCGAAAUCAAACACAGAUCUAAACGAUUACGUAAAAUAGAUCUACGAGGUCAAUGCUGCGCAAAAAUAUCUCAGAUUUGAUCUUUUAAAAUACGAAAAAUAUGAAGAAAAACACAGAUCAAGAUAGAAGAGGAAGAGACGA